UACAGAGGGUGCGAGCGUUGUUCGGAAUUAUUGGGCGUAAAGGGCGCGUAGGCGGCGCCACAAGUCACUUGUGAAAACUCUGGGCUCAACUCAGAGCCUGCAAGCGAAACUGUGGUGCUGGAGUAUGGGAGAGGAGCGUGGAAUUCCUGGUGUAGCGGUGAUAUGCGCAGAUAUCAGGAGGAACACCAGCGGCGAAGGCGGCGCUCUGGGCUGGCACUGACGCUGAGGCACGAAAGCUAGGGGAGCAAACAGG
This 253-nucleotide ribosomal RNA is filed under the name uncultured bacterium. Its description in RNAcentral is "partial 16S ribosomal RNA". It matches the Rfam family "Bacterial small subunit ribosomal RNA", at positions 524 to 776 of the family's 1533-position model. The record is from RNAcentral.